AUUGAACGCUGGCGGCAGGCCUAACACAUGCAAGUCGAACGGUAACAGGAAGAAGCUUGCUUCUUUGCUGACGAGUGGCGGACGGGUGAGUAAUGUCUGGGAAACUGCCUGAUGGAGGGGGAUAACUACUGGAAACGGUAGCUAAUACCGCAUAACGUCGCAAGACCAAAGAGGGGGACCUUCGGGCCUCUUGCCAUCGGAUGUGCCCAGAUGGGAUUAGCUAGUAGGUGGGGUAACGGCUCACCUAGGCGACGAUCCCUAGCUGGUCUGAGAGGAUGACCGGCCACACUGGAACUGAGACACGGUCCAGACUCCUACGGGAGGCAGCAGUGGGGAAUAUUGCACAAUGGGCGCAAGCCUGAUGCAGCCAUGCCGCGUGUAUGGAGAAGGCCUUCGGGUUGUAAAGUACUUUCAGCGGGGAGGAAGGGAGUAAAGUUAAUACCUUUGCUCAUUGACGUUACCCGCAGAAGAAGCACCGGCUAACUCCAUG
This 490-nucleotide ribosomal RNA is filed under the name uncultured bacterium. Its description in RNAcentral is "partial 16S ribosomal RNA". It matches the Rfam family "Bacterial small subunit ribosomal RNA", at positions 30 to 507 of the family's 1533-position model. The record is from RNAcentral.